This 58-nucleotide small RNA is filed under the name Plasmodium falciparum 3D7. RNAcentral describes it as "Pfa-npcR6353". Lineage: Eukaryota; Apicomplexa; Aconoidasida; Haemosporida; Plasmodiidae. The record is from RNAcentral.
CUAAAAAAACUUAUAAGGUUUCACUAGAAGCCAUUAAAACGAAUUUGACAUUGAGACA